CCUGAUUUCCCUCUCUCUCAUUUCUUGCCUCUUUUUGUUCCUUCCUCUAUCUCUUUCCGUAGAUGCGAAAUCAAAUGCAUUUUUCCCUCUUCAGAGAGAGAUAGAGAGACUGAGUGAGAGAUUCGUUAAUGGCAGUAGAUCUUAAGCAAGAUCUAACUUUUUAGAAGGAAAUCCCUAAUUUUCAAUCUAUCUUUUCGUUGGGAGACAUUUCAAUUUCGUUUCAGUCAGAAGCAUCUCUCUAUCCAUACAUCCGAGUGGAAAUGGCCAUGGAAAUGUCAGAUUUCUUCUCAGAUCUUGCAUUUUCCUGCAAUUGAGGCGUGUUUAAAGCAAAAGACAGACGAAUACCAUGCUUUCCGACGAUUUUCCGUAGGAGUACGCUGCGGAAUUGUUAAUUUCAGGCUUUGUGAAGAAGGCUUCCUUCUACAAAUGUUCAGUCACCUGACAUAAAUGCACCGUAGUUCUGGAAAUGAGAAGGUAUUCCAUUCAUACGAGUUUUUAGACCAUUUCCACCUUUUUGUCUGGAAAAUUCCACACUUGGAUGCUCAAACUACAUUUUGUUGUUGUUCAAUUUAUAUAGUCCUACUUAGUGACAUUGAUAAUUAGUGGAGCAAUUAGCUACUUUGCUGGUGAGUUUUUGUUUUGGUGAAGAUGAGUUCAAUUUAUAUAGUCCUACUUAGUGACAUUGAUAAUUCAUGUUAAUUGCACUUCUCUUGUUUCAGGAUGGAAAAAACGGUACCUUGGAAGACAAGUAGGAUGGCCAUUUAAGAGUUUUCAAGUGGCUAGUAUGGAAGUCCUUCUUGAUCAGCCUGAUGCCCAUGCCUCUGUGAAAGAUUUGGAUUUCAGGUAGUCCGAGCUCUCUGCGUGGAAGUAGUGAUAAUGGGAUCCAGUCUUCAAAUUCUAAUUACUUAAACAGAGUGUAUGCUCGGGAGGAGGUUCACAAUGCUUCACCGGGGAGUUUACAUAGGUCCAUGAUCAAAGCUGCCCAACGGGUGCAGGUGCAGGUCACAAUCCUGCCUUCCCUACCCAAAAUUCAGGUCAGGCGCAACUUGGACCAAGCCAAAACAAUAGUAGAGAUUUUAUCUAAGGGAAGAGAAGAAGAGAAGUCAUGGAGAGUGAAGUUAACCUUCAACGGAUUCAUGAGCCGCCGCCUGCGCUGCUAAUGCCUUCGUUGGAUCUUGACAUGGGCAUUUACUUCAGACAUUUCCAUGAGCCUUUGUACUUGCACUAACAUGAUACCAGAGGCAGAUAACCCACACUUCACUGAUGGUCUCAUGGAGCAUGAGAAGCCAAUGGCACUGGAGCUUGUGUUUUCUCUACGAGUGGAGCACAUGAGGAUUUUUUAUUUAUUUUUAAU
Molecule: RNA transcript, 1354 nt
Organism: Magnolia sinica
Lineage: Eukaryota; Viridiplantae; Streptophyta; Magnoliopsida; Magnoliales; Magnoliaceae
Exons: 7
Source: RefSeq, a predicted model, not a curated record